GUGCACAUUGUUCUUUCUUUCGAUAACAUAUUUUAUCAUUUAUAAAGAUUUUCUUAUUCCCUAAAAGAAAAGAAAGAACAGUUAAACGGAAGAGAUGGGAGUGAGAGUGACAGUGUAAUAUACCGUCGGCUUGAGCCUUGAGCCGAGCCAUUUUGUGGGAAUUAAACCUUCUUCACGCGUUUAAAGCAAACCCCCCACGCGCGUCAUCAAGCCCUUGACCCUACGCGCCAAUGUUCUUCUACGCGUGCAUCCAUUGAUUCUCCGUGCACUCGCCAU
This is a long non-coding RNA of Arabidopsis thaliana (thale cress), 276 nucleotides long. RefSeq annotates it as other RNA. NCBI's taxonomy places the organism in Eukaryota, Viridiplantae, Streptophyta, Magnoliopsida, Brassicales, Brassicaceae. The transcript has a single exon. The record is from RefSeq.